GAUGAAGAACGCAGUGAAAUGCGAUAAGUAAUGUGAAUUGCAGAAUUCAGUGAAUCAUCGAAUCUUUGAACGCACCUUGCGCCCUUUGGACAUUCCGAAGGGCAUGCCUGUUUGAGUAUCAUGAACACCUCAACUCUCACGGCUUGUCCGUGAUGAGCUUGGACUUUGGGGGUCUUGCCGGCCUGUGGUCGGCUGCUCUCAAAUGGAUCAGCUUGCCAGUGUUUGGUGGCAUCACAGGUGUGAUAACUAUCUGCGCUUGUGGUUUUCCAUCAGAUAACCUUCAGUGAUAUGGAGGUUCGCUGGAGCUCACAAAUGUCUCUCCUUAGUGAGGACAGCUCUUUGAACGUUUGAUCUCAAAUCAGGUAGGACUACCCGCUGAACUUAAGCAUAUCAAUAAGCGGAGGA
Molecule: unclassified non-coding RNA, 405 nt
Filed under: soil metagenome
Description: partial contains 5.8S ribosomal RNA, internal transcribed spacer 2, and large subunit ribosomal RNA
Rfam family: 5.8S ribosomal RNA (bases 1-121)
Source: RNAcentral